RNAcentral lists this ribosomal RNA (827 nucleotides) under uncultured Actinomycetes bacterium. Its description in RNAcentral is "bacterial SSU rRNA". It matches the Rfam family "Bacterial small subunit ribosomal RNA", at positions 28 to 860 of the family's 1533-position model. The record is from RNAcentral. Lineage: Bacteria; Bacillati; Actinomycetota; Actinomycetes.
GACGAACGCUGGCGGCGUGCUUAACACAUGCAAGUCGAACGAGGUUCAGCCGAUCCUUCGGGGGAAGCGAAAAUCUAGUGGCGAACGGGUGCGUAACACGUGAGAAACCUGCCCCGGACUUGGGAAUAACAGUCGGAAACGGCUGCUAAUACCGAAUAUCUCCGUAGCGUCGCAUGGCGCAUCGAAGAAAGCUUUUGCGGUCUGGGAGGGUCUCGCGGCCUAUCAGCUAGUUGGUGAGGUAACGGCUCACCAAGGCAUCGACGGGUAGCUGGUCUGAGAGGAUGAUCAGCCACACUGGGACUGAGACACGGCCCAGACUCCUACGGGAGGCAGCAGUGGGGAAUAUUGCACAAUGGGCGAAAGCCUGAUGCAGCAACGCCGCGUGCGGGAAGAAGGCCUUAGGGUUGUAAACCGCUUUCAGCAGGGAAGAAACUGACGGUACCUGCAGAAGAAGGUGCGGCCAACUACGUGCCAGCAGCCGCGGUGACACGUAGGCACCAAGCGUUGUCCGGAUUUAUUGGGCGUAGAGAGCUCGUAGGCGGUUCAGUAAGUCGGGUGUGAAAACUCUGGGCUCAACCCAGAGACGCCACCCGAUACUGCUGUGACUUGAGUACGGUAGGGGAGUGGGGAAUUCCUGGUGUAGCGGUGAAAUGCGCAGAUAUCAGGAGGAACACCAGUGGCGAAGGCGCCACUCUGGGCCGUAACUGACGCUGAGGAGCGAAAGCGUGGGUAGCAAACAGGAUUAGAUACCCUGGUAGUCCACGCCGUAAACGUUGGGCACUAGGUGUGGGUCUCAACCAACGAGAUCCGCGCCGUCGCUAACGCAU